GCUGUCGUCAGCUCGUGUGGUGACAUGUUGGGUUAAGUCCCGCAACGAGCGCAACCCUUGUCCUUAGCUGCCAGCAUUAAGUUGGGCUCUCUAAGGAGACUGCCGUGGUUAACACGGAGGAAGGUGGGGAUGACGUCAAGUCCUCAUGGCCUUUAUAUCCAGGGCGACACACGUGAUACAAUGGUCGGUACAGAGGGAAGCGAAAGGGCGACCUGGAGCUAAUCUCAAAAAGCCGAUCUCAGUUCGGAUUGGAGUCUGCAACUCGACUCCAUGAAGUUGGAAUCGCUAGUAAUCGCGGAUCAGCACGCCGCGGUGAAUACGUUCCCGGGCCUUGUACACACCGCCCGUCACACCAUGGGAGCUGACUCAACCAGAAGACGGUCAGGCUAACCGCAAGGAAGCCUCCGGCGAAGGUGGGGUUGGUGACUGGGGUGAAGUCGUAACAAGGUAGCC
This 453-nucleotide ribosomal RNA is filed under the name uncultured bacterium. Its description in RNAcentral is "bacterial SSU rRNA". It matches the Rfam family "Bacterial small subunit ribosomal RNA", at positions 1048 to 1501 of the family's 1533-position model. The record is from RNAcentral.